AUUGAACGCUGGCGGCGUGCCUAACACAUGCAAGUCGUGCGAGAAAGCUUUCUUCGGAGAGUGAGUAGAGCGGCGCACGGGUGAGUAACGCGUGGGUAACCUGCCCAUAAGACUGGGAUAACAGCCGGAAACGACUGCUAAUACCGGAUAUGCUCCAUGUUUAACUAUAUGGGGUAAAGGUGGCCUCUACAUGUAAGCUACCGCUUUUGGAUGGGCCCGCGUCUCAUUAGCUAGAUGGUAGGGUAACGGCCUACCAUGGCUUCGAUGAGUAGCUGGUCUGAGAGGAUGAUCAGCCACACUGGGACUGGAACACGGCCCAGACUCCUACGGGAGGCAGCAGUGGGGAAUAUUGCGCAAUGGGGGAAACCCUGACGCAGCGACGCCGCGUGCGGGAAGAAGGCCUUCGGGUCGUAAACCGCUGUCGGGAGGGAAGAAACCAUAGGGGUCGAAUAGGCUUCUGUGCUGACGGUACCUCCAGAGGAAGCACCGGCUAACUCCGUG
Molecule: ribosomal RNA, 501 nt
Filed under: uncultured bacterium
Lineage: Bacteria
Description: bacterial SSU rRNA
Rfam family: Bacterial small subunit ribosomal RNA
Source: RNAcentral